CGUCUUUUUUUCUUUAACUUUAAAAAUGAUUCGAUCGAACCCGAUGUAGGUUGCAUAUGUAUUCAUGUUCCACAUGAAUUAGACCAAGCAUAGUUCCAGAAAAAGUAAUGGACAAAUAAACUAAAAAUAAAAAUCUUUUUGAAUUUUUCAUUUAUAAUUUUUUUGGUUUUUCAAAUACAAAACAGGAAGUACUAUAACAAAAAAUUCGACAAUCUUAACUAGACUGAUAGACUCGAUACUACUGUACAAGACUAAAAAUUAAAAGACAACAUAAGAUAGACUAAAAAAUAAAAAGUUUCCUCAAGCAGCUCGUGCAUGCAAUGGUCUUGACUAGAAUGGUCCUAGGGUAUUUGUCAUGCUCAAACUCUAGCAAAUUGCUCCAUACCUGAAUAGAAAAAAUAAGAUCAAAUAGAGUUAGUGACUCAAGACACAUGUGACGCCACGACACCUUCUACUGGACACAUGCAAGGCAUGAUUAAGGCUAUUUUUGAAAAUUAACCUACGUGGCCAAGAGUGUCUAGAAGUGCAAACACAAUAAAGGUGACCUCAAAGACAUGGAAAUAUCUCACUAAGGCUUAUAUGGAUUCAACUCCCAAUAAUCUUGGCCCAAAAUCAAUUUGCAGAAAUAACCCAUUUUGCAAAAAUGGCCGAUAUGGCCAAAUGCAAACUCAAAAAGGACGGACCUUAAAGUAAUAUGACACCUAGUUGUGGACUCAAAAUCCUAAGACAUGGGUAGUUGAAUCACUUUACGAAAAUGAUCCCAUUUUGCAAGAAUGGCCGGUUUGCCCAAAUUGGCUACACAUGCAAGAUUUGGCUAAGACCCCGCAAAGCUUAGAACCUAAGACUCACUAGGAAGACCGGACCCUGUGUGGGUUGCCUACGUAUCGCGUUCCGAAAGACGAGAAUCAGGUAUGCAUAGUUCGGGAAGAUGAGACAUGGGAGAAAGCUUUUAAAACAAAUGCAACUAAUUAGGAAAAACUAUAUUUUUAUCUUUUUUAAAAAAUAAUGAAAAAUGUAAAUUCUUUUUGGAUUUUCUCUUUUUUUUCUUCGUAUUCUUGGCUUUUUUUUUUCUUAAAAAAAAGUUGUAUAAGAAAAAAAAAGUUGUGUCCUACUUGCUUCAUUUUAUACCUUUCCCUCUUUUCCAAAUAUCAGUCCGCCAAAUGACCUUUCUACCCUCAAAGAUGCCACAUGUAUCACAUAGGGAUGAUUGAAUGUCCUUUUGGGCCAUGGGCCAGUUUUGCCAUAAUUUGGAUAGGCCUCCUAUAAAGGGACACGGUGCUUGGGACCGAGCCCUGCUAGGUAAAUGACAUGAUGCAAAUAAGCAUGAUUUAAAUGCUGACCUACGUUUGAGAUUCACUAACAAGGCAAUUCGAAGGAGCGUAUGGUCGAUGGUGGCUGCUCAAGCUUUCCAUCCACUCCAUACGUCCGACGGCUCCCCCUCCUAAAAUAAGGGUGACUCAACAAAGAGUUCGUGUACACGACACGUACUCCGGGACUUGUUGCAAAAAAAAUUGAUCAGGUAAUACAUAUGAUGACAGUUAUAAAGCAGUAAAUACAUAAAAAUAAAACUGUAAACACAUAAACAACUAGCAAAUAAUAACAAAAUAUAUAACAUAAUAAAAAUCAAGUAAAACUAAUGAAAAAGCAUAAAAACCUCAAAAAAAUAUUCUAAAACGCCAACAAGAUCGUAGUAUCAGCUCGAAACUGCAAUUGUUCCCCAGCGGAGUCGCCAGAGCUGUCACACCCUUUUUUUUUAACCAAACUUCACUAAUUCUCUUAAAUAAAUAAAAAGAUUUUGUAAAGCUCGAAAAGGGUUUUCAAUUGAAAAGUGAUAAAAUUGUGUUCAAAAGGAAAUAACUUAGAGUCGCCACCUGACUUUGAUUUCGAUGUGCCAGGUCACCGUUUUAAAGAAAAAAAUAAAUUUUCCCUUUUAAAACAUUUUAGAAUCUACAACCAAGUCCGCACCAGAGAUUCGGUUAAGGGGGUUUAUUUGACUCGGAGAAAAGGUGUUAGGCAUUCCCCAAGUCCCGUAACUAGUACGGUUGCAUACUCGAUCUAGUUGGCUUUUAAGGAUAUUCGAAUUGAGGUAAAAGCACACAAAAGAAAAUAAACAAUCAAAAAAAGGCUCGAGGUUGUCCCACCUAAUAAAAGGAAAAUAAAACAAAAAUACUACGAAUUCUAUUAUCGAUGUUCAAAUACAAAUACUUCGGGGCAUACCCCAGAAUAAUAUAUAUAUAUAAAUCCUUCGGGGCAUUCACCAGAUAAAUUUAACUAAGGGAACAACCUCUCGCCUCGAAACCAACAAAAAUCCUAAGGCUUGCCUACCCAAAUGCGGUCGGCCUAAGCAUGCUCCUAGCGGACGGUGUAAUAAAAAUAAAAUAAAUAAAAUAAAUGAGUAAUUCAAUUCAUGCUCCUAUUCUUCUAACUUUCAUUUUUUGUAUUUGGCUAUGGGCCAACUCCUAAAGCAUGGUAACAAUUAAUUAUUAAUGAGCUUUGGCCUUUUCCAACUCCCCAUGACCUACUCUCAAGCAAAUUAAAAUAGACAACUAUAGCUUUCAAGCACACAUAUGGAAUCCAGCACAGAAAGGAACAAAACGAAAUAAUAACUAUAACUAUAAUGAUAAUGAUAAUACCAAACAUUGAAUUAUAAUGGAUGAAGUAAAAGAAAGUGAAGUAAAAUAUAAUAAGAGCCGUUUAAGACUUAAAACAAUUUUACGAUGCACUGCCUUGACAAGGACUUGCACAACCCACCUAAACAAAAUCAAAUACUCCCAACACUAUCCAAAGAAAAUGACUCGACAGAGGUCGACAUGGACCUAAUCAAAACAUCAAAGUGAUUAUUUUACUUUUAUGAACUAUUAAAAAAGAAAUAAAAAGAAAUCAUAAACUAAGGAGGAGAGUUUUGAUGAGCUGUUUAACCAAACCAUGUUUUGACAUUCGCUCCGCAUACAAUACUACACAGUUCAGCAAAUUGUAGGCAUGAUUAUAAAGGAGUAGUGAUAUAACUACUUGCUAUGUGAAAAUUUGUAAACUAACAUAUGCUAAAGGGUGAUAUAAAUACGUAGAUAAAAUUGAAGAAACUAUAGGAAAAAGUAUUAUGGAAUCCGGAUAGAUGAAGAACUACACAAUAAAAUAUUUAGACACAAAAUCAAUCAAACAAAAAAAAAAUCAAAACCACAGAGAUUACAUCAAAAUAGCCCAAACUCACUAGCCCAAAAGCUAACCAAAUUUUACGGAUUUGAUCCCCAAAUUUAGCUUUCUAAUUUAUAUGGAGUCAAGCACAACAACCAUUCUUAAACGGCUCCAUUAUAUUUUAAUUUCACAGAAAAUAGAUGGAUCAUAGAGGAGAGUAGUGAGAUGGACCUGACAAUGUUUAACAAUUAAUUUGGUGAAAAGUGCGAUUACAAGAUAGUCCGGCGACGAACUCAUACGGAACUGAAAUGGCAACAGGACACUCCGCCUCGAACCUCGAACGACUACCCACGAACAACGUUUUCGAAUCAGCCGGCCUCCGCAAUUAAAAAUCCAAAACUAAAAAUAGGAGGAGGAACAAAAAUAUAUAUUUUUUUGGUUUUUGUUUUGUUUUUUUUUUUGAUAAAAUUAGGACACAAAUUAACCUAACAAAGAAGCCUUAUACUCUCUUCUUUAUGUGUGCAUUUUGUGAAUCACAAAGAACAGACUAUUGGAGAAAGAAGACUUUCCGAAAUGAAACCGAGAAGAAACUCUCUUUUCUUCAAAACAACCCUAGCUUUUUUUUCUUCCGAUUUAUGUCCGAAAAAAUCCCCUCUCCUUCCCGAUUUUCCCCCUCUUUAUUGUGCCCCAAAUAAUGGUUAACUUUUCUAUUGUCUUCCACUCACUCUCUUUUUUUCCCAAAAAUCCUCCCUUCCUCUCAAAGUGUUGUCCCCACUCAAACUUUUCUCCUAAAAAUCCUCUCUUUCACUCAAUGAUGUCCUCCACUUUCUCUCUCUUGAUUUUUAUGUACGCGAGGCUAGAUUAAUUGUGUGUAUGCAGAUUGUGAGUGUGUGCAUUGUGAGGAAUCUUUUUUGAGUACUUAAACUUACUUGGUAAAAGAAAGAAAAGGAAUCUUAAGAAUAAAAUAGAGGUAGGUAAUAUGGGUGAG
RNAcentral lists this long non-coding RNA (4120 nucleotides) under Nicotiana tabacum (common tobacco). Its description in RNAcentral is "long non-coding RNA (NTAB_LNC009494)". Lineage: Eukaryota; Viridiplantae; Streptophyta; Magnoliopsida; Solanales; Solanaceae. The record is from RNAcentral.